GGGGCCCUACGGGGCGCAGCAGUGGGGAAUAUUGCGCAAUGGGGGAAACCCUGACGCAGCAACGCCGCGUGAGUGAAGAAGGCCUUCGGGUUGUAAAGCUCUUUAGUCAGGGACGAAGAAUGACGGUACCUGAAGAAUAAGCUCCGGCUAACUACGUGCCAGAAGCCGCGGUAAUACGUAGGGAGCAAGCGUUUCCGGAUUUACUGGGUGUAAAGGGCGGGUAGGCGGGCCGGCAAGUCAGAAGUGAAAUCUGGGGGCUUAACCCCGAAACUGCUU
RNAcentral lists this ribosomal RNA (276 nucleotides) under uncultured bacterium. Its description in RNAcentral is "partial 16S ribosomal RNA". It matches the Rfam family "Bacterial small subunit ribosomal RNA", at positions 333 to 626 of the family's 1533-position model. The record is from RNAcentral.